UUUCACCGAGCCGAGCCAGAGCGGACGGCCGGGAUCGCGUUGCCUGCCGUAGGUGGCGUGCAACGCCUCGAUCUC
Nocardia brasiliensis ATCC 700358 is the source of this 75-nucleotide non-coding RNA. It matches the Rfam family "ASpks TB sRNA". NCBI's taxonomy places the organism in Bacteria, Bacillati, Actinomycetota, Actinomycetes, Mycobacteriales, Nocardiaceae. The record is from Rfam.